RNAcentral lists this ribosomal RNA (433 nucleotides) under uncultured bacterium. RNAcentral's name for it is "partial 16S ribosomal RNA". It matches the Rfam family "Bacterial small subunit ribosomal RNA", at positions 29 to 507 of the family's 1533-position model. The record is from RNAcentral.
AACGAACGCUGGCGGCAUGCCUAACACAUGCAAGUCGAACGAGACCUUCGGGUCUAGUGGCGCACGGGUGCGUAACGCGUGGGAACCUGCCCUUAGGUUCGGAAUAACUCCCCGAAAGGGGUGCUAAUACCGGAUAAUGUCUUCGGACCAAAGAUUUAUCGCCUUUGGAUGGGCCCGCGUUGGAUUAGCUAGUUGGUAGGGUAAAAGCCUACCAAGGCGACGAUCCAUAGCUGGUCUGAGAGGAUGAUCAGCCACACUGGGACUGAGACACGGCCCAGACUCCUACGUGAGGCAGCAGUGGGGAAUAUUGGACAAUGGGCGAAAGCCUGAUCCAGCAAUGCCGCGUGAGUGAUGAAGGCCUUAGGGUUGUAAAGCUCCUUUACCCGGGAUGAUAAUGACAGUACCGGGAGAAUAAGCGCCGGCUAACUCCGUG